This 497-nucleotide ribosomal RNA is filed under the name uncultured bacterium. RNAcentral's name for it is "partial 16S ribosomal RNA". It matches the Rfam family "Bacterial small subunit ribosomal RNA", at positions 28 to 507 of the family's 1533-position model. The record is from RNAcentral.
GAUGAACGCUGGCGGCGUGCCUAAUACAUGCAAGUCGAGCGAACAGACGAGGAGCUUGCUCCUCUGACGUUAGCGGCGGACGGGUGAGUAACACGUGGAUAACCUACCUAUAAGACUGGGAUAACUUCGGGAAACCGGAGCUAAUACCGGAUAAUAUAUUGAACCGCAUGGUUCAAUAGUGAAAGACGGUUUUGCUGUCACUUAUAGAUGGAUCCGCGCCGCAUUAGCUAGUUGGUAAGGUAACGGCUUACCAAGGCAACGAUGCGUAGCCGACCUGAGAGGGGGAGUGGGCCAACUGGGAAUGAGAAACGGGCCAGAACCCUACGGGAGGGAGGAGGGGGGAAAUUUGCACAAAGGGGGAAAGCCUGAACGAGGCAAGGCGGGGGGAGGAAGAAGGGUUUCGGGUUGGAAAAACCUUUUUUAUGGGAAAAAAAAAAUGUUAAAAAAAAAAAGAGGUUAUGACGGGACCCUAAGAAGAAGCCCCGGGUAAAUACGGG